RNAcentral lists this ribosomal RNA (444 nucleotides) under uncultured bacterium. Its description in RNAcentral is "partial 16S ribosomal RNA". It matches the Rfam family "Bacterial small subunit ribosomal RNA", at positions 337 to 795 of the family's 1533-position model. The record is from RNAcentral.
GACUACUGGUGGCAGCAGUGGGGAAUAUUGGGCAAUGGGCGCAAGCCUGACCCAGCAACGCCGCGUGAAGGAAGAAGGCUUUCGGGUUGUAAACUUCUUUUAUCAGGGACGAAGCAAGUGACGGUACCUGAUGCAUAAGCCACGGCUAACUACGUGCCAGCAGCCGCGGUAAUACGUAGGUGGCAAGCGUUAUCCGGAUUUACUGGGUGUAAAGGGCGUGUAGGCGGGAGUGCAAGUCAGAUGUGAAAACUAUGGGCUCAACCCAUAGCCUGCAUUUGAAACUGUACUUCUUGAGUGCUGGAGAGGCGAUCGGAAGUCCGUGUGUAGCGGUGAAAUGAGUAGAUAUACGGAGGAACACCAGUGGCGAAGGCGGAUUGCUGGACAUUAACUGACGCUGAGGCACGAAGGCCAGGGGAGCGAAAGGGAUUAGAUACCCGUGUAGUC